AGUUUUCAUCCCACAACCCAAGUCCACAUCCUGUCACCAGAUGGCUCGACGAACAUCAUGGAGGCCAACCUGCUCAGAAUGAGAAUCGGUGCACAAAUAGAACCACAUUUCACCAGGAGAAAUAAUUUUAAUCCAGGAUGAGGAUUUGCACGAGUGUGAGGGAGGAUUACCAGAACAUCACAUCUUCCCUUGCGAAAUUUGGCUACCGAAGUCUGCCACGAAGAUUUCGUCUGGAAAACCUGUGAAGGAACAGCCAGGGACAACGCUUGUGGAAUUAAAGGCUUGAAUAAUACAUGGCUGAAAGCAUCCGUCUCUUCGAGCUGCUUCUACGCACAGACACCGGGGGAUUUGAAGG
Solea solea (common sole) is the source of this 355-nucleotide long non-coding RNA. RefSeq lists it as uncharacterized. The transcript has 4 exons. The record is from RefSeq and is a predicted model, not a curated record. NCBI's taxonomy places the organism in Eukaryota, Metazoa, Chordata, Actinopteri, Pleuronectiformes, Soleidae.